This is a long non-coding RNA of Gasterosteus aculeatus aculeatus (three-spined stickleback), 2149 nucleotides long. The record is from Ensembl. Lineage: Eukaryota; Metazoa; Chordata; Actinopteri; Perciformes; Gasterosteidae.
CCCCCCAUACUUUGUGGACGUGUUUAAGAGACUGAGCAGCUCCAGAUUGACUGCCCUUGUCGUAGGCCGGCAGUUUGCAGACGUUGGAGACUACACUCUUGGGCCUUCCUCAGGAUCGCCUGCUGUUUGCAAACUGCAGGCCGGAGUGGUCGUCGUCGCAGCAGCUGGGUCUGGAUUGCAGUACGCUGGCGCUGCGGCUGCUCUAUGGGGCGGUGAAGGUCCAGCGGCGGCUGAGCAGGGCUGCAAUGGCUCUCAAGCUGCUAUGCGGGACUGCGCUGGCUCCCUCCGGGCCUGGGUGACAACAGCACGUGCCGCCGCAGUCACGAGUUGUGGUGCUGCAGCGGUGGGUCACUCCAGUUGUGGGCGUCGCUGGACCUCAGCGGGGAGUGUGUGUGGCGGCCCUGGGUUAGGGUUAGGUGAGAAAAGGAUUCUGACUGCUCAAAGGCCAUCGGACGGUCCACAGGCUUAAUUUGUUUAGGGUCACUAGUAGCUUAAAGUUGUGUCAAAUAAUUUAUGGUUUAAAAACCGGCUUUAUUCCCAGGGGUGGAGGGUGAUGGUGGAUCGCAUUCUGGAAUGUCAAUGAAAUCCAUCUCGUAGUCCUGGGCCCAUUGACUGCGCCAAUCCUGAAAGAUAUGGUCUGCUUUUUUUCCUUGUCCAUUGUGGCGGAUCCUGUUGGUCUACUUGGAAGAGGUCCUCUUGAAUGGGUUUGGGGACCUCUAUGACCUACUCUCAGGUAUGCGUCAAAUUGUUAACGAUUUAGUAUACCUGGGGGGGGAUUUUCUUGUAGUUUUGGAUCGGAGCCCUAAGAAUGCGGCCGUCUGGGAAUGUUCUCAGAGUCUGAGCAACCUCCUGAGUUGCUUUUUAAUGUUUGUAAUUUGAAUGUCUCCAUGGAGUUUGUUCAUUCCCACAGGGAACUACCAUCUGGACAUAGGGACAGUGAUUACGUUUCUCCAGGACUCCUAUUAGGUGGUGGAUCUUAGCCUCCGGGAAGCUGUCCAUUUGUAGAUGGAGAGGUAUAUUGGCUAUAUUGUGGUCUCGCAAAACUACAAUAGUUUCUUCCGGUUGUAAGUUCCAAUGGAUUGUUUUUUGGUAGAUGGUGGGAUGAAUCCUGGGACCCUGGGGGGGGGAGACGGGGGAGCCCCCAUCCAGAACUCGUCGCCCCGGGGCCCCAUAUUAGGGCCUCCUCUCCGGUGUCGGCUCAGACUCAGGGAAUUUGUCCUCCAGAUAGGGAAGUAGAAGGAGGGGGGGGGGUCAGAAUUGAAAUUAAGUUAAGGGAGCGUUGGGGAAGUUUUUCCUGUGCCGAUGGUGGGUUUCGGGGCAGAGGAUGUUGUAUGUGUACAGACUGUAAAGCCCUCUGAGGCAAAUUUGUAAUUAUGGGCUAUACAAAAUAAAAUGAAUAAACCAGCCCAGAGUGGAAGCCAGGACUUGUUUCGUGGUCGGAGUCCCUCAAUUCGCCCAUGAGGUCUGCCAGGUCAUGCCUAUCAGUUUCCGUUUGGGCUCCACCAUUUAUUAGUGUUUUAGUUUCUCAUUAUGGUGUCCCCAAGUCGCUUUUUGUACCUAUUUCUUCCAUUAGGCGUUUGCCUUUUUAAAGACCACCUGCUUAAAAGAAGGUAGGUUGUGAAGGCCCACCAUGAUGACCUCUUGAUAGUGAGUUUUUAAGAUCUCCAUGUUAUGUUGUAACCAUCUCAGUGUUCACUUUUAUUUUGGAGGCAGUGCGGUCAUUGGGGGAGGACGGCCUGAUAAAUGCGGUCAGUUUGGUGACCUGCCUCAUCAUGUACCUGGGAGGAACCCCAGAGGCUUGAAUCUCCUCUAUAACCUCAAAAUAAUAUACGGCUUGAAGCAAUUUAAAAUACUUUUCUCCAGUUGGUUGGUUUUCUUUGCAGGUGCCUAUCGCUGUGGACCCCUGCCAGGGAAGGAUAAAAGAUUGACAUCUCAUGAAAAUAAAAGCCAUAAAUAACAAGCUUAAUAAGGUCUCAAAGCCCAAAUAAAGGAUCUCCUAACGUUUCGGCUAUGUGCCUUCUUCAGAGGAGGAUGCGAGAGGGAGUUAAAAACAGGACAUUUUUAUAGAGGAAGUGGGGGUUUCCCAAAGGAGGUGGGACUUCCUGUCAUUUAAAAAUAAAAUGAACUCAGCUGUGAGUAAUAAUUAAAA